AACCAAUGGCGAAGGUGUGUUGCACCCUUGGGAUUUCCUGAGAGUAUGUCUGCUUCAGUGCUUAA
Molecule: ribosomal RNA, 65 nt
Filed under: Symbiodinium sp. C clone KB1
Lineage: Eukaryota; Dinophyceae; Suessiales; Symbiodiniaceae
Also listed under: 8 other names
Description: partial 5.8S ribosomal RNA
Source: RNAcentral